Molecule: long non-coding RNA, 1181 nt
Filed under: Helianthus annuus (common sunflower)
Lineage: Eukaryota; Viridiplantae; Streptophyta; Magnoliopsida; Asterales; Asteraceae
Description: hypothetical non coding rna
Source: RNAcentral
GGGUAAACCCCUUUUUCUUCUCUAGUUCCUCAAAUCUUUAACAAAUUGAAGGUGUUUCUGGGUAUAAAUCGAAUGCAUGUGACCAAAUUCUCAACCAUCUAAGGGUUUCCUACAUAGGGGAAAAUGUUGAGUGAAAGAAGAAGGAGCUAAUUCCGGUUCGCAACAAAAGGCUCAAGAACCAGGUAAAUCCUUGACUUCAUAGCUUGGCGACUCAGAACGAACACACUCGAUAUCACGCCCAUCAAGCGCUUCCGACGAUGUCACAUUAGUAUGGCCUUAGUUUUGGUCAUAUGUAUUUUAACAUAUGCAAUCUUUUUGGUGUCCUUGUGAAUUGGGUAAAAACUUGGUUAGUAAGUAGCUAUUGUAUUAAAACAACUUAAACAUGUUGGUUUUGCUUUAGUUUAUGAAAAUGGGUCUUUUAAGUUAAGCGUCUUAUUAUUAAGCAGGAAAUUAUCUAUGUUACGAAUGGGUCAUGCCCAAUUUUUGUAAAAAAUUCAUAUGUUUUUAUAGUCUUUUAAAAAGGGUAUGGAUUAGGGCAUUAUAAGUUGGUAUCAGAGCAUAGGUUUGAGGGAUUCAAGUGCAAGUAUUAGUGCUUGAACUCAAACAGAUAGCUCGCGCGAUGGUGUGUUCGUUCCAAGGCCGCAAGAAAGGUAAAUAUUUAAAUUUCUAUAAGUUAAGUAGGAAUAAUGUGAGGUUAAUAUGAAAUUAUAAAGUGGUAUGUGGGGCUGAAAAAGUGGGAGGAUUAAAACGGAGGGUUGGGAGCUCGUAUAACUAAAAUCGGACUUGGGAAAUGGACAAACGACUAAACAAAGAGCUGCAGCAAAACAACCGCAGGAAGGCCCGUCGCCAACGCCGGCUUGGCCCGUCGCCGACGCAGCUACCCCUGCCGACGGCCUAAUUCCCUGUCGACGCCACGAAUUACCCGACGCCAUUUUUAAAGCCCCGUCGCCGACGGCAUGUAGGGGCGUCGCCGACGGCUUGAGCUACACCAAUUCGCUGAAAUUUUUAUUUUUCAUAAUUUAAGUUCCCCUACUUCUCCGAAAACCCGUUUUAUGUUCUUGUCAAGUUAUUAGGAGAUAUAAUAAGUUAUGUAAAGUUAUGUAGAUCGUUGGUGAUGAAGUAAAAUUUAUAAAAGUUGAAUGUAAUGUAUGGAAUGGCAUGAAAUGAAAUGAAUGACGGAU